UUUCUCUUAGAGCAAUCUGUUGGCUUUUAGAAUGUCUUUUAAUGUCUGACAUUUUUGAGCUGUCUUUUUAUAUCAUCAGUUAGUGGUUAUAUACAGUUGUAAGUAGGUAUGACAAUCAAAAUAUUGAACCACUGGUAAGGCACAAACUGGUACUUGCUGGCUGAACAUUGGCCAUGAUUUUAGGUACAUUUUAUUUCAAAACAUGGAUGAAUUUUCUUUUUUAAGGCCUUCUCACUGAGCAUACUUGCUCUGAUCUUUAGUUAACUUACAAGUACAGGAUUUGCUUGCUUUCUUACUGUCAAUUUGUGAUACAGAAAAAAUAUUUUGUAAUCCUAGGAAGACAAAGAUUUACUGAUAUCUGAAAAUCUUUUUGCAUUUCUGAAGAUCAGAUAUUUUACUUAAAGGCCUGGUCAUAUAGAAAGCAUAUGCAGCGUAGAACAUUUUAAAGGAAUUGCUUGAAGUGCCUCAAACUUAGAAUUCUUUCAUGACAUAUUUAUAGAAGUAUUUUUCAAAUGACUAGUAAUAUAACCUAUAGUUUAUAAUAUUUUGCAUUAUUUGUACACUGUUUCAUAGACUACAAUAAUAUUUUUCCACAAAGACAAAACAAUCUUAGCUUCCUUUUAAAGCUGUCUGGACUUUAUUUCCUUAGUUGAUGUUCUGGGCAAGACAGAUGAUCAAAAUAAAUCUCCCAGCUUAAACAGUGGCAUAGAAAACUUUUGCUACAGUAAUGGGGGAGAAACUUGUCAGCCAGGCUAAACUCUAGGUAAUUCUACACAUUCCAUGGAAUCCAUGCCACUGUUGCCCUUGCUUGUAAAUAUCUUGGGAUGUUUCUAAAGGCCAAUAAGCCUGUGUUCAGACUCAAUAUUGCAUUCAUUAGUAGUAUUUCUUUCAUGAAUAUGCUAGUCAUCUGGUCUGCAAGAUAGAGUUGGAUAAAUAUGCUUAACACUACUGAGCCAUACACUGAAAAAAGUUAAGAUGAUAACUUUUAUGCUAUGUGUAUUAUUAAUUAAAAAUCAAUAGUAAUUCAGUAGGAAGAAAA
Molecule: long non-coding RNA, 1039 nt
Organism: Pipistrellus kuhlii (Kuhl's pipistrelle)
Lineage: Eukaryota; Metazoa; Chordata; Mammalia; Chiroptera; Vespertilionidae
Exons: 3
Source: RefSeq, a predicted model, not a curated record